AUUGAACGCUGGCGGCAGGCCUAACACUUGCAAGUCGAGCGGAUGAAGGGAUCUUGCUCCUGGAUUCAGUGGCGGACGGGUGCGUAAUGCCUAUGAAUCUGCCUGGAAGUGGGGGAUAACGUCCGAAAAUGGGCGCUAAUACCGCAUACGUCCUGAGUGUCUAAGUGGGGGAUCCUCGGACCUCACGCUAUCCGAUGAUACUAGGUCGGAUUAUCUAGUUGGUGGGGUAAAGGCCUACCAAGUCGCCGAUCCGUAACUUGUCUGAGAGGAUGAUCAGUCACACUGGAACUGAGACACGGUCCAGACUCCUACGGGAGGCAGCAGUGGGGAAUAUUGGACAAUGGGCGGAAGCCUCAUCCAGGGAUGCCACGUGUGUGAAGAAGGUCUUCGGAUUGUAAAGCACUUUAUGUCGGGAGGAAGGGCAGUAAGUUAAUACCUUGCUGUUUUGACGUUACCAACAGAAUAAGCACCGGCUGACUUCGUG
RNAcentral lists this ribosomal RNA (484 nucleotides) under uncultured bacterium. RNAcentral's name for it is "partial 16S ribosomal RNA". It matches the Rfam family "Bacterial small subunit ribosomal RNA", at positions 30 to 507 of the family's 1533-position model. The record is from RNAcentral.